CCUACGGGAGGCAGCAGUGGGGAAUAUUGGACAAUGGGCGAAAGCCUGAUCCAGCCAUGCCGCGUGAGUGAUGAAGGCCUUCGGGUUGUAAAGCUCUUUUAGCGGGGAAGAUAAUGACGGUACCCGCAGAAAAAGCCCCGGCUAACUUCGUGCCAGCAGCCGCGGUAAUACGAAGGGGGCUAGCGUUGUUCGGAUUUACUGGGCGUAAAGCGCGCGUAGGCGGGUCGUUAAGUCGGGGGUGAAAUCCCGAGGCUCAACCUCGGAACUGCCUUCGAUACUGGCGACCUAGAGUCCGGGAGAGGUGUAUGGAACUCCUAGUGUAGAGGUGGAAUUCGUAGAUAUUAGGAAGAACACCGGUGGCGAAGGCGAUACACUGGCCCGGUACUGACGCUGAGGCGCGAAAGCGUGGGGAGCAAACAGGAUUAGAUACCCUAGUAGUC
This 440-nucleotide ribosomal RNA is filed under the name uncultured bacterium. Its description in RNAcentral is "bacterial SSU rRNA". It matches the Rfam family "Bacterial small subunit ribosomal RNA", at positions 338 to 795 of the family's 1533-position model. The record is from RNAcentral.